AUCCAGCUGACGAGUCCAAAAUAGGGCGAGACGCGCGUCAAGCUGGAU
This is a non-coding RNA of Schistosoma mansoni, 48 nucleotides long. NCBI's taxonomy places the organism in Eukaryota, Metazoa, Platyhelminthes, Trematoda, Strigeidida, Schistosomatidae. The record is from Rfam.